AGCAGCCGCGGUAAUUCCAGCUCCAAUAGCGUAUAUUAAAGUUGUUGCAGUUAAAAAGCUCGUAGUUGAAUUUCGGGAUCAAUAUUUCGGUCAUGCCGUUGGUAAGCACUGUUAUCAUUGAUUUCUCACCUUCUAAAGAACCGUAAUGCCAUUAAUUUGGUGUUACGGGGAAUUAGGACUGUUACCUUGAAAAAAUUAGAGUGUUUAAAGCAGGCUCACGCUUGAAUACAUUAGCAUGGAAUAAUGAAAUAGGACAUCCGAUUCUAUUUUGUUGGUUUCUAGGAUCGAUGUAAUGAUUAAUAGGGAUAGUUGGGGGCAUUAGUAUUCAAUUGUCAGAGGUGAAAUUCUUGGAUUUAUGAAGACUAACUACUGCGAAAGCAUUUGCCAAGGAUGUUUUCAUUAAUCAAGAACGAAAGUUAGGGGAUCGAAGACGAUCAGAUACCGUCGUAGUCUUAACCAUAAACUAUGCCGACUAGGGAUCGGAUGACGUUAAUUUUUAAUGACUCAUUCGGCGCCUUAA
RNAcentral lists this unclassified non-coding RNA (520 nucleotides) under uncultured Glomus. RNAcentral's name for it is "SSU rRNA". It matches the Rfam family "Eukaryotic small subunit ribosomal RNA", at positions 569 to 1091 of the family's 1831-position model. Lineage: Eukaryota; Fungi; Glomeromycota; Glomeromycetes; Glomerales; Glomeraceae. The record is from RNAcentral.